Molecule: ribosomal RNA, 480 nt
Filed under: uncultured Gammaproteobacteria bacterium
Lineage: Bacteria; Pseudomonadati; Pseudomonadota; Gammaproteobacteria
Description: bacterial SSU rRNA
Rfam family: Bacterial small subunit ribosomal RNA
Source: RNAcentral
UUUGAUCCUGGCUCACAUUGAACGCUGGCGGCUUGCUUAACACAUGCAAGUCGAACGAAAAAGUACCUUCGGGUGCGAGUAAAGUGGCGGACGGGUGAGUAACGCGUGGGAAUCUGCCUAGUAGUGGGGGACAACAAUCGGAAACGGUUGCUAAUACCGCAUACGCCCUACGGGGGAAAGGCUUCGGCCGCUAUUAGAUGAGCCCGCGUAACAUUAGCUUGUUGGUGGGGUAAUGGCCUACCAAGGCGACGAUCUUUAGCUGGUCUGAUAGGACGAUCACCCACACUGGGACUGAGACACGGCCCAUACUCCUACGGGAAGCAGCAGUGGGGAAUAUUGGACAAUGGGCGAAAGCCUGAUCCAGCAAUGCCGCGUGUGUGAAGAAGGCCUGCGGGUUGUAAAGCACUUUCUCUAGGGAAGAUAAUGACGGUACCUACAAAAGAAGCACCGGCUAACUCCGUGCCAGCAGCCGCGGUAAUA